Molecule: ribosomal RNA, 460 nt
Filed under: uncultured bacterium
Lineage: Bacteria
Description: partial 16S ribosomal RNA
Rfam family: Bacterial small subunit ribosomal RNA
Source: RNAcentral
CCUACGGGUGGCAGCAGUGAGGAAUAUUGGUCAAUGGACGAGAGUCUGAACCAGCCAAGCAGCGUGAAGGAGGACUGCCCUAUGGGUUGUAAACUUCUUUUAUAUGGGAAUAAAAUGUUCCACGUGUGGGAUUUUGUAUGUACCAUAUGAAUAAGGAUCGGCUAACUCCGUGCCAGCAGCCGCGGUAAUACGGAGGAUCCGAGCGUUAUCCGGAUUUAUUGGGUUUAAAGGGUGCGUAGGUGGAUUGUUAAGUCAGUUGUGAAAGUUUGCGGCUCAACCGUAAAAUUGCAGUUGAAACUGGCAGUCUAGAGUACGGUAGAAGUAGGCGGAAUGCGUGGUGUAGCGGUGAAAUGCUUAGAUAUCACGAAGAACUCCGAUUGCGAAGGCAGCUCACUGGACUGCAACUGACACUGAGGCUCGAAAGUGUGGGUAUCGAACAGGAUUAGAUACCCUUGUAGUC